UGGGGAAUUUUGGACAAUGGGGGAAACCCUGAUCCAGCCAUCCCGCGUGUGCGAUGAAGGCCUUCGGGUUGUAAAGCACUUUUGGCAGGAAAGAAACGUCAUGGGUUAAUACCCCGUGAAACUGACGGUACCUGCAGAAUAAGCACCGGCUAACUACGUGCCAGCAGCCGCGGUAAUACGUAGGGUGCAAGCGUUAAUCGGAAUUACUGGGCGUAAAGCGUGCGCAGGCGGUUCGGAAAGAAAGAUGUGAAAUCCCAGAGCUCAACUUUGGAACUGCAUUUUUAACUAUCGGGCUAGAGUGUGUCGGAGGGAGGUGGAAUUCCGCGUGUAGCAGUGAAAUGCGUAGAUAUGCGGAGGAACACCGAUGGCGAAGGCAGCCUCCUGGGAUAACACUGACGCUCAUGCACGAAAGCGUGGGGAGCAAACAGG
This 429-nucleotide ribosomal RNA is filed under the name Acidobacteriota bacterium. RNAcentral describes it as "Acidobacteria bacterium partial 16S ribosomal RNA". It matches the Rfam family "Bacterial small subunit ribosomal RNA", at positions 355 to 776 of the family's 1533-position model. The record is from RNAcentral. Lineage: Bacteria; Pseudomonadati; Acidobacteriota.